Molecule: small RNA, 81 nt
Filed under: Flavobacterium frigidimaris
Lineage: Bacteria; Pseudomonadati; Bacteroidota; Flavobacteriia; Flavobacteriales; Flavobacteriaceae
Description: Flavo-1 RNA
Rfam family: Flavo-1 RNA
Source: RNAcentral
GUCCAGACGGUAGGAUGGGAGUGGUAUCCUUUUUCUUGCUCCUUUAGCAAGGAAAAGAUAAAACGUACAGCGGGACGGGUG